This 421-nucleotide ribosomal RNA is filed under the name uncultured bacterium. Its description in RNAcentral is "bacterial SSU rRNA". It matches the Rfam family "Bacterial small subunit ribosomal RNA", at positions 358 to 770 of the family's 1533-position model. The record is from RNAcentral.
GGAAUUUUGCGCAAUGGGCGAAAGCCUGACGCAGUAACGCCGCGUGGAGGAUGAAGGCCUUCGGGUCGUAAACUCCUGUCAGGGGGGAAGACGGUAAAGGGGUGAAUAAUCUCUUAUGCCAGACGGUACCUCCAAAGGAAGCCCCGGCUAAUUCCGUGCCAGCAGCCGCGGUAAUACGGAAGGGGCAAGCGUUGUUCGGAAUCAUUGGGCGUAAAGGGCGCGUAGGCGGUUUCGUAUGUCCGCUGUGAAAGCACACGGCUUAACCGUGGAGAGUCGGUGGAAACUGCGAAACUUGAGACUGGGAGGGGCUGGUGGAAUUCCCUGUGUAGCGGUGAAAUGCGUAGAUAUGGGGGAGAACACUCGUGGCGAAGGCGGCCAGCUGGACCAGAUCUGACGCUGAGGCGCGACAGCGUGGGGAGCA